Molecule: ribosomal RNA, 253 nt
Filed under: uncultured bacterium
Lineage: Bacteria
Description: partial 16S ribosomal RNA
Rfam family: Bacterial small subunit ribosomal RNA
Source: RNAcentral
UACGUAGGGUGCGAGCGUUGUCCGGAAUUAUUGGGCGUAAAGAGCUUGUAGGUGGUCUGUCGAGUCUGCUGUGAAAAUCCGGGGCUCAACCCCGGACUUGCAGUGGGUACGGGCAGACUAGAGUGUGGUAGGGGAGACUGGAAUUCCUGGUGUAGCGGUGAAAUGCGCAGAUAUCAGGAGGAACACCGAUGGCGAAGGCAGUUCUCUGGGCCACUACUGACGCUGAGAAGCGAAAGCAUGGGGAGCGAACAGG